CAAGGUUUCCGUAGGUGAACCUGCGGAAGGAUCAUUACUGAACUGCUGACAUGAGUUGUUGCUGGUCUCCAAAUGGGGGCAUGUGCACNCUCUGUUUGUGCAUCCACUCACACCUGUGCACCUUCUGUAGUUCUGUGGCUUGGGGGACUUGUCCUCCUGCUGUGGUUCUGCAUCUUUACACUCACACUGUGAUNAAGUCUAAUGGAAUGCAUGCCGCGUUUAACGCAAUACAAUACAACUUUCAGCAACGGAUCUCUUGGCUCUCGCAUCGAUGAAGAACGCAGCGAAAUGCGAUAAGUAAUGUGAAUUGCAGAAUUCAGUGAAUCAUCGAAUCUUUGAACGCACCUUGCGCCCUUUGGCUAUUCCGAAGGGCAUGCCUGUUUGAGUAUCAUGAACAUCUCAACUCCUCACRGUUAGCCCGUGAUGAGCUUGGACUUUGGGGGUCUUGCUGGCCUGCAGGUCGGCUCCUCUCAAAUGAAUCAGCUUGCCAGUGUUUGGUGGCGUCACAGGUGUGAUAACUAUCUACGCUUGUGGUUUUCUGCCAGGCAACCUCCAGCAAUGGGGGCUCACUGGAGCUCACAAAUGUCUCUCCUCGGUGAGGACAGCUCUUUGAACAUUUGAUCUCAAAUCAGGUAGGACUACCCGCUGAACUUAAGCAUAUCAAUAAGCGGAGGAAAAGAAACUAACAAGGAUUCCCCUAGUA
Molecule: ribosomal RNA, 703 nt
Filed under: uncultured Tomentella
Lineage: Eukaryota; Fungi; Basidiomycota; Agaricomycetes; Thelephorales; Thelephoraceae
Description: eukaryotic LSU rRNA
Source: RNAcentral